Dalotia coriaria is the source of this 2165-nucleotide long non-coding RNA. RefSeq lists it as uncharacterized. The transcript has 2 exons. The record is from RefSeq and is a predicted model, not a curated record. Lineage: Eukaryota; Metazoa; Arthropoda; Insecta; Coleoptera; Staphylinidae.
GUCGUUUUAUACAGUGUGGGAUCGGUGAGUGAGUGCAAAUGUUAUAAUUGAUGAGUGAGUAAAAGACACGAUGUUUAAUUAUCACGAACAAUGUUUAUUAAGAAGUAUGAAGAGAAGUGAAGUUAGUAGAACUGUAGAGUUUGAAGUGUGUGGAAUAACUGUCUUUCCUAAACCCUUGUCACCCACCAGCAACCCUUCAGGUUGAUGGGUGGUGACAAGAAAUUUGGAAGUAGGAAGAAAGUAAUAGAUUGGAUUGGUAGAAGAAAGUGUAUGACAUUGAAGAGAGGGAAAGCUGACCAUUGGAUUCUGGGAAUCCGAGUCGUGCCAAACCGUCCGACUCGGGGAUUAGGUUUUUCAAGGUAAUAAAAGAUAUUAGGAAAUUUGGGAAUUUUGGAUGAAGAAUUACGGUAUACAAUAAAGAUGAAGAAAGUUAUAAAGUUUUGAAAUACAGAAAUAAGCUUUGGGUAAAGAUCCCCACAGUACCCCCCUACCAGUGAUAAAGUUACCGGAAAGGCCGGAAGAAGCUCUUCGGAGUUGGUAUUGCAUGCAGCAGAGGUGAUGCGCGUCGCAUUGAGAUGAAAUCUUGAGAACCACGCCUGGAAACAGUCGGUGAGUCGUGCCUGCUUCCCAGCUCUCGUCGUUCGAGAGUUGUUGGCGAGAGGUUGCAGCAGUGGUGUGCGCGUCGCAUUGAGAUGAAAUCUUGAGAACCACGCCUGGAAACAGUCGGUGAGUCGUGCCUGUCUCCCAGAUCUCGUCGUUCGAGACUUGUUGGCGAGGGGUUGCAACAGUGAUGUGCGCGUCGCACUGAGAUGAAAUCUUGGGAACCCAGUCCGGAAACAGUCGGUGAGUCGUACCUGUCUCCCAGCUCUCGUCGUUCGAGAGUUGUUGGUAGAGCAUGCAGCAGAGCUGAUGUGCGCGUUGCACUGAGAUGAAAUCCUGCGAACCCAGCGUGGAAACAGUCGGUGAGUCGUACCUGCCUCCUAAGUCUUGUCGUUUGAGAGAGAGUUGCUUAAAGAGACUUGCGGAUUCUCCGGGAUUGGUUGUAGUUGCUGCUGCUGGAUCUCUGGUUGAACUGGGAUCUCUGUCGGGUUGGUCGAAGUUGUGAGCACCAUGCUUUUUAGAGUACAGUUCUGGAAAACGUCUCUAGGACAUACCACUUGUGGCAUGUUGUUACACUUUAACGGCAGGAAGGAUGUUGUACGGUCGAAGGACCUGGUGAUGUGAUGCGAUGCAAUACCUGGCUGUGAUGAUGGUACUCCAGAGUGUGGUUGAGAAGGCGGUGGGUUAUUAGAGUUAGACCUACCCUUGUGGGUGAGAAUGAAGUGGUAUAGAAUGCGGAGGAAAAGUAUGUGACGGGAGUUUAAGAUGCGGCGGCAUGUGCGGUGGUGGACCACCAUGUGGACACAUGCCUGGCAGUGGAAAACAACUGCAUACUAGGCAUACCAGGAUGAGGCGGCACCUGGUGCGGCGAUGUUGGACGUCCUGGGUGAUAACUCGGAACGUGCGGUUGAUGCAUCGUAGGUGCAGAAGUAUGGAAUGAUGCCUUCUGCGGUGGAAGUUGUAGCUGAAGAGGCAUCGAAGAUUGAGUCCUUGGUAGCGGUUGAUGUUGCGUUCGUCGUAGACAUUGUUGUGUUGCACUCAGAUAUUGACUCACCAGAUACCCACAAAAUAAAAACUAACGUGUGUUUAAUGUUCGCAAAUAUCACGUCGGGGUCACCAAUUUGUGGGAUCGGUGAGUGAGUGCAAAUGUUAUAAUUGAUGAGUGAGUAAAAGACACGAUGUUUAAUUAUCACGAACAAUGUUUAUUAAGAAGUAUGAAGAGAAGUGAAGUUAGUAGAACUGUAGAGUUUGAAGUGUGUGGAAUAACUGUCUUUCCUAAACCCUUGUCACCCACCAGCAACCCUUCAGGUUGAUGGGUGGUGACAAGAAAUUUGGAAGUAGGAAGAAAGUAAUAGAUUGGAUUGGUAGAAGAAAGUGUAUGACAUUGAAGAGAGGGAAAGCUGACCAUUGGAUUCUGGGAAUCCGAGUCGUGCCAAACCGUCCGACUCGGGGAUUAGGUUUUUCAAGGUAAUAAAAGAUAUUAGGAAAUUUGGGAAUUUUGGAUGAAGAAUUACGGUAUACAAUAAAGAUGAAGAAAGUUAUAAAGUUUUGAAAUACAGAAAUAA